GCUGGUGUCAUCUAAUGGCAGGAUUCUUGUUUUCCAAACAAGCAGUGCGAGUCCGAACCUCGUCACCGGCU
Molecule: transfer RNA, 71 nt
Filed under: Caudoviricetes sp.
Lineage: Duplodnaviria; Heunggongvirae; Uroviricota; Caudoviricetes
Description: tRNA-Gly
Rfam family: tRNA
About the family: Transfer RNA (tRNA) molecules are approximately 80 nucleotides in length. Their secondary structure includes four short double-helical elements and three loops (D, anti-codon, and T loops).
Source: RNAcentral